Eriocheir sinensis (Chinese mitten crab) is the source of this 794-nucleotide long non-coding RNA. RefSeq lists it as uncharacterized. Lineage: Eukaryota; Metazoa; Arthropoda; Malacostraca; Decapoda; Varunidae. The transcript is spliced from 3 exons. The record is from RefSeq and is a predicted model, not a curated record.
UAUAUCAAGGGAUAUCCCAAAAUGACACAGCCCUCAUGGAAGCAGACUUGGAUGAUGAUGCCUCCAGCACCAGCAAGGUGGGUCGUCUUGAGCCACCUCCAACUGGAAUGGAACCCAGCCCGGCCAGUGGGGAUGUAAUGACGAGGGUAACUCAGCUUGUCCUGAAACCAUCUGCACCUCCUCCACCUCCUGCACCUCCUGUGCUCAAUAGCGCUCUGAAUUCUGAUAACCACAGAGUGGCUAUAGCCUACGAGGAGGCAGUGGCAGCAUACAAGCGAAUGAGCGCUGCAUACAUUCAAUCAUUAGAAAACCAAAGUAAGAGGUAUAGGAAAAAUAGCAUCAUUGAGAGUAUAUUUAUAUAUAUUUAUUCUUACUUUUCCCCCACAGCUUAUCCUAUGUUUAUAGUGAAGUGGUGAUCAUAGUAAAUACUAAACACAUUUCAAUUCAGAAUAACAAAAUUAUAACGUACACCACAAAAUUGCAGUAAACGUGGAAAUAUUAAUUUACUCAUAAUGCAAUGCUUCGUAUUAAGUCAUGCUUGGUACCUGCACCCCACUUUACAGCUUGAUUAAUCUCUGCACCACAUAUAUGUGCUUCUUGCUGUGUCCUGCUUAAUCAUUUUACAAAGGCGUCAUAUGGACUGAAGUUUUGUUUUCUUUCCAGACAGAGGUCCAUGGCAGCCUAAUAAAUAAAUACAAUUGUGAAUUUGGUUAUUUUUUCAUCCUCCUUGAAAAAAAACUUUAGCGUGUGUGAAGGAAAGUGACCUGGCGUAGUUAGGUGGAGGUGACGCUAGA